GGAGCUGCCAACCAGCCCCGGCUGCAACGAACCCAUGCUCCUGGACCCUGCAGAGGCCGACGUCAGGACCCAGAGCCGGGGCCAGAUGUAACCACCAUGCAGCCAACUACCGCAAGGGCUACUGAGGGAGACCCCCGGCCGGACUAUUUCCUGGACCCCUCGCUGUGUAGUGAGCCGGCAUGGCUCCCCUCCACCCAGGAGAGGGUCGAGCCCCGGUGAACUCUUGUACAGGGAAGUUCCUAAGUGAAUCAAAACAGUAGAGGAUUCAGUCUUACCUGAAGAAAACUACUAGAUUUUAUUUGUUAGGAAGUAAACUUUCAAGAGAUUUUAUUCUUGAUAGUUAACAAGAAAAGGAGACAUCAAUACUAAAGCACAUUAAGCUUAUCUCCUCUCAAAUGCUGGAGAGAGAGAAAGGAACUAAAUGAUUAUCUUUAUUUCUAGGAUUUGUGCUCACCUUUGUCUGUGACUUACAUAUAUGACACUGAUUGGUGAAGCCUUUAACCUUUAUAUCUAAUACACAAUAUAAUAAAACGUUAUAAAUAUUA
Molecule: long non-coding RNA, 545 nt
Organism: Mauremys reevesii (Reeves's turtle)
Lineage: Eukaryota; Metazoa; Chordata; Testudines; Geoemydidae
Exons: 2
Source: RefSeq, a predicted model, not a curated record